Molecule: ribosomal RNA, 411 nt
Filed under: Klebsiella pneumoniae
Lineage: Bacteria; Pseudomonadati; Pseudomonadota; Gammaproteobacteria; Enterobacterales; Enterobacteriaceae
Description: bacterial SSU rRNA
Rfam family: Bacterial small subunit ribosomal RNA
Source: RNAcentral
AAGAGUUUGAUCAUGGCUCAGAUUGAACGCUGGCGGCAGGCCUAACACAUGCAAGUCGAGCGGUAGCACAGAGAGCUUGCUCUCGGGUGACGAGCGGCGGACGGGUGAGUAAUGUCUGGGAAACUGCCUGAUGGAGGGGGAUAACUACUGGAAACGGUAGCUAAUACCGCAUAACGUCGCAAGACCAAAGUGGGGGGACCUUCGGGCCUCAUGCCAUCAGAUGUGCCCAGAUGGGAUUAGCUAGUAGGUGGGGGUAACGGCUCACCUAGGCGACGAUCCCUAGCUGGUCUGAGAGGAUGACCAGCCACACUGGAACUGAGACACGGUCCAGACUCCUACGGGAGGCAGCAGUGGGGAAUAUUGCACAAUGGGCGCAAGCCUGAUGCAGCCAUGCCGCGUGUGUGAAGAAGG